This is an RNA transcript of Chroicocephalus ridibundus (black-headed gull), 3642 nucleotides long. It is a transcript of the gene named zinc and ring finger 2, with no coding region annotated. The transcript has 6 exons. Lineage: Eukaryota; Metazoa; Chordata; Aves; Charadriiformes; Laridae. The record is from RefSeq and is a predicted model, not a curated record.
GGUAGAGGAGCGGCUGCGCUGGGGUGACCGCCCCCUCCCGCCUCCCUCGGCACAGGCACGGUGCGCCGCGGGCGAGCGAGCGGCCUCGGCGGCGCUGCUGCCGCCGUUGCCCCCCACAGGGCUCAGCGGAGGAGGAGGAUGGCGGCAGCGGUCGCGGCGGCGGCGAGCACAGCAGCAGCAGUGGCGGGGCCGAGCGGCCGCCCGGCGGGAGCCAGCACCGUCCCGAGCAGCUCAUGGUGGCGCCCCAGACCCGCCAGCAACGGCCGCGCCGGGGCCGCCAGCUGAGCCGGAUCCCGGCGGGCGGCUCUCCCCUCUCGACACCGACCCACCGAGCGACCCGUUCCCCUCCCCCGGCGCACCCUCUUCCCCCUCCCCGGCGCGACCCGCGGCUCGGAUCGCCCCCGCCGGGGCCGGACUCCCGCCGUCCCCAGGCGCCGCGGGGAAGGCGGCGGCGAAGGGCACCGGGCAGCGCCAGGCGGCGGCGGGACCAUGGGCGCGAAGCAGAGCAGCCCCACCGCCGCCAACGGCCGCACCCGGGCGUACUCGGGCGGGGAUUUACCUUCCUCCAGCAGCAGCAGCAGCGGCGGCGCUAACGGGACCGGCGGGCGCUCGGCCGGCGCUGGCGGGCGGUACGCGCACCUGGCGGCGGCGCCUCAUGCCGCUCCCGGCGGCGCGACGGCGGCAGGAGGAGCGGCGGCGGCGGCGGCCACAGCGGGGGGUGCCGCGGGGUCGGCACCCCGGAGCAGGUCCUUAGGGGGGGCCACGGCCUCCGGGGCCCGGGCCGCGCAGUCCGCCUUCAACAUCCCCCACAGCAGCGGUCCCUACGGCUCGCAGGACUCGGUCAACAGCACCCCGGAGGAGGGCGGCCGGGAGCGGCCCGCGGGGGGUGGCGGCGGCAGCGGCUCCUCCGGCGGGCCCCGGCUAGUGAUCGGCUCGCUGCCCGCUCACCUCUCGCCGCACCUGUUCGGAGGAUUCAAGUGCCCUGUAUGUUCAAAAUUUGUAUCUUCUGAUGAAAUGGAUUUACAUCUUGUGAUGUGUUUGACAAAACCGAGGAUAACCUACAAUGAGGAUGUGCUGAGCAAAGAUGCUGGGGAGUGUGCAAUAUGCCUGGAAGAGCUGCAGCAAGGAGAUACUAUAGCACGGCUGCCUUGCCUCUGCAUAUAUCAUAAAGGCUGCAUAGAUGAAUGGUUUGAAGUAAAUAGAUCUUGCCCUGAGCAUCCCUCUGAUUAAGACAAGAUUCAUGUUUUUAGCUGCUUCCACUGAUCAGAAAACAUAGAUGUGAGGUUCCCGUGCUGAACACAGCGUGCCUGGCUUGAGACUUACAGUUCUUUGUGGCUGAAAAAGGCAAAGACGGACAGUGACAUGGAAAAAGCGUUGCAGACGCCGGUUACUUGCCAGUAGUGCUCGGUAUACCAAACACUCAUGCAAAGGACACACAGGGAUUUUGAAAAUGCUGCACAUUCUGUAACAAUCGACUCCCCACAGACAUUACUGACACUUUUGUAUUGAAGGCCAAAGUUCCUAAUUUCAGACUAACUUGUGGUUCUGUGAAGAAGCGGGUUAUUGGACAUGUUUCCUACUGCCCCAAGCGGAAGCGGAGACGUUCGAUACGUGCUAUCUGAGACCCUUGCAGGAGGAUGGCCCCAGUUUUGAGUGGGAACGUUUUCACCUUCUCGUUGGCUGAAGAAGAGUAAAUGGCAAACUAAAUAUAAUCUAACAGUGUGACCUUAAUUUACUGAAUUCAUGCCUGUUUUAUGUUCUUCACUUUUUUUUCAAGAACAGAAAACAUAAACUUCUCUGCAUAGGAAUACUAUAUUUCAGAACUUUGUAACUAAACCUUUGUCACAAUGCAGUCCAAAGAGUAAAACCAAGACAGUUGGGAGCUUCCUGCCGAGAGACCACCGUCUACCUGGGAGCGCCGAAGUGCUGCUAUGGACCUUCCAGCUCACCUUUGCCGGUGGAGGAUUAUCUCAUUUUUUGAUGACUGCUAUAUUUUAUGAUUCACUUUACACCCCUCCAAGCUUAAAAGUCAUUUUAGUAUUAACAUCUUCCCCUCUUCCCAGCUGAAGACAUGAUACAUCUUAGGCCGUAUCCCCUCAAUCUUUGGACAGGCUUUCCAUUGGCAUCAGCAAAAGUAACAUCGGAGGCUGUAGCUGGAAGAGAAGGGCUCGUUACGGGGUUUGAUACAACCCGGCCAAAAGGGGUUUUUCCUGCAGCAGUGUCAUCAGCUCAUAUCACUUCUUGUCCUUCAAAAUACUCUAUGUGAGAAAUUCAUGACAGAACUGUGUCCAGUUUUUGUUUCCGAAACGCAAAACUUCUGUGAUGUUUCUCCAUAUAAAUUAACCUGCUUCUAAAAUCAGGUUGAAGAUGUUUUAGCCUGUUGGGGAAAAACAAAAACCAAAAGAGCAACAAAAAAGUCCUUACUCUCAAGUUGCAUUUGGUUAUCUUACUGCAGAGUUUGGCUGGCUUCCCAAGCCACUGCAUGGCAUUCUGUAAAGUCAUUUCUCAAUUAAGGACAUCAGAGGUGACAAAGGGAUAAACUGUAAAGUGACCUCACCGUGGGGCAUCGCUAGUUGCUGAAGACUCGCUCAGGUAAACCAUCGUAGGAAUACCGUGCACCUGAAAAAGGUUGGACUUGGUUCUGUCUCUGAUCUAACAAGUUGCCGGCGUACAAGGAGUAGGAGGCAGCAAGCCCGCUAGCUGAUCUUUCUGGCAGCUUUUAAUCUGUCUGUGUUUGUUUGAGAGACUUUUGCCCUUGGGUGUGCUUUGGCAAAGGUUUUGCAACGAUAAGUAGGAUUUGCUUGAUUCUGGCAGAGUUUCAAGCGUAAGUAACCCGACGUUGCAAGUACACGAUCUGUUGCUGAAUCCUGUUCCUCUUGUUUUCUCUCAAAUCUGUGCUUUUUAUUGCUAAUUUGUUAUAUUUAAUAGUAAACACUUCUCAACACGACUGGUCACAAGCUCUCAAGGUGUGAAAUGCUAACAGGAAGAGACAUCAAAGUGCGAUUCCGUGCUUUUCCUGUGCAUAUUAAGAUGAAGCUGAAGUGUUCAUUAUCGUACAGUCAAGAAUUCUCUCCUAGCUGAUAUUGCCAAAGCACUGUAACUUUCAAGGAAGAAGGGAGGUGGCUUUAGCUGUAGAGGGGAUGUUUGAACGAACUACUUAAUUUUGAAAGCUGCAGCAUCGCGCUGAACGAGUGGUGAGCCAGCAUUAACCUUAUCACUUGGCUGCGAAUCUCAGUCUGGCUCUUCCUCCCCUUCGGCUGGUACCUGCUGGUAGGGAGCAGAGCGUAUAUUCCCCUUUUUUAUAUGCCUCGUCCCACAGAGCUAACCCUGCCCACAACGAGUUAGAGGGAACUCCGUGCUACCUUCUGAGAUGCCACCCGUACGUGCAGCGGUAAUGGGCAAGAUGUCUUCCUUCAUUACCUGGAGCAGAAAUCGGAAUGUAAUUUGCAAUGUCUAAUGUAAAAACGUGUUUGUAUCUUUUUUUUUUUUUAAUUGAGCAGUAUGAUUGCAAGUUGACUUAAGUUGUUCUAAGGUACUCUUUUUCAGUGGUUUGCCAGUACAUAAUCAUGAAUGAAAAUAUUUUUUUAUUGAUUUUUAGGUUGUAUGUUUAACAUUCCAUUCAUGUAAAAUAUGUACAAAUAU